AGUCGAGGGGCAGCAUGGUCUUAGCUUGCUAAGGCUGAUGGCGACCGGCGCACGGGUGAGUAACACGUAUCCAACCUGCCGUCUACUCUUGGCCAGCCUUCUGAAAGGAAGAUUAAUCCAGGAUGGCAUCAUGAGUUCACAUGUCCGCAUGAUUAAAGGUAUUUUCCGGUAGACGAUGGGGAUGCGUUCCAUUAGAUAGUAGGCGGGGUAACGGCCCACCUAGUCAACGAUGGAUAGGGGUUCUGAGAGGAAGGUCCCCCACAUUGGAACUGAGACACGGUCCAAACUCCUACGGGAGGCAGCAGUGAGGAAUAUUGGUCAAUGGGCGAUGGCCUGAACCAGCCAAGUAGCGUGAAGGAUGACUGCCCUAUGGGUUGUAAACUUCCUUUAUAAAGGAAUAAAGUCGGGUAUGCAUACCCGUUUGCAUGUACUUUAUGAAUAAGGAUCGGCUAACUCCGUGCCAGCAGCCGCGGUAAUACGGAGGAUCCGAGCGUUAUCCGGAUUUAUUGGGUUUAAAGGGAGCGUAGAUGGAUGUUUAAGUCAGUUGUGAAAGUUUGCGGCUCAACCGUAAAAUUGCAGUUGAUACUGGAUGUCUUGAGUGCAGUUGAGGCAGGCGGAAUUCGUGGUGUAGCGGUGAAAUGCUUAGAUAUCACGAAGAACUCCGAUUGCGAAGGCAGCCUGCUAAGCUGCAACUGA
This 696-nucleotide ribosomal RNA is filed under the name uncultured Bacteroidales bacterium. Its description in RNAcentral is "bacterial SSU rRNA". It matches the Rfam family "Bacterial small subunit ribosomal RNA", at positions 60 to 743 of the family's 1533-position model. Lineage: Bacteria; Pseudomonadati; Bacteroidota; Bacteroidia; Bacteroidales. The record is from RNAcentral.